RNAcentral lists this ribosomal RNA (576 nucleotides) under Prymnesium sp. MACC 15. RNAcentral's name for it is "LSU rRNA". It matches the Rfam family "Eukaryotic large subunit ribosomal RNA", at positions 371 to 1028 of the family's 3401-position model. Lineage: Eukaryota; Haptophyta; Prymnesiales; Prymnesiaceae. The record is from RNAcentral.
GGGCCUGGGGUAGGAGAGUAAGAGUGCUUGAAAUCGGCAAGAGGAAACCCGUUUGCGCCCGGUGUCGUCUCUUCGGCUCAGCAAUGCCUCUUGGUGUGGUGCACUUCGGAGAGACGGGUCAGCUCGCGCUGGGGGGCGUCACACACAUCCAGGUAGGGCUCCGGUGAGCCUGGUUGGAUGGCGCGCGCUCGGGGCCGGGCUGACGGAAACGGGCGCAACCGACCCGUCUAGAAACACGGACCAAGGAGUCUGACACGUGUGCGAGUACCCGGGUGGCAAGCCCGCGUGCGCAAUGAAAGUGAAGGGCGUUCGGGCGCCAACCGACCUUGAUCUUCUGUGAGGGGUUUUGAGUGGAGCACACUUGUCGGGACCCGAAAGAUGGUGAACUAUGCCUGAGGAGGUGAAGCCAGAGGAAACUCUGGGGGAGCUCGUAGCGAUACUGACGUGCAAAUCGUUCGUCGAACUUGGGUAUAGGGCGAAAGACUAAUCGAACCAUCUAGUAGCUGGUCCCUCCGAGUUUCCCUCAGGAUAGCUUGAACGCCGACGGUUUUGUCAGGUAAGCGAAUGAUUAGAGCA